RNAcentral lists this long non-coding RNA (255 nucleotides) under Setaria viridis. RNAcentral describes it as "long non-coding RNA (SVIR_LNC004714)". Lineage: Eukaryota; Viridiplantae; Streptophyta; Magnoliopsida; Poales; Poaceae. The record is from RNAcentral.
AAAAAUCGGCUAAGGAAAAUACCUCGGCAUUCGUGUCGAUGUUGGCUGGAUCCAGGAGGUUGCAGUAUGCCGAUGCCGAAUUGCAGAAGAGGAAUUGUUUCCAUUCGGCCCACCAAAUUUUUGAAUGGCUGGACAGAAAAGGGGGCUACUAUCCAGUUGUUCAGGUCAAUAGUGUUGGAGUCCGGAAUCCGGUCUCGUACCCGACUAUAGUCCAGACCUGUUGUGAGCCCAUCUCUGAACUUGACUCGGCCAGCA